UACGUAGGGGGCAAGCGUUGUCCGGAUUCAUUGGGCGUAAAGAGCUCGUAGGCGGUUCAGUAAGUCGGGUGUGAAAGCUCCGAGCUCAACUCGGAGAGGCCACCCGAUACUGCUGUGACUUGAGUCCAGUAGAGGAGCGUGGAACUCCUGGUGUAGCGGUGGAAUGCGCAGAUAUCAGGAAGAACACCUGCAGCGAAGGCGGCGCUCUGGGCUGGAACUGACGCUGAGGAGCGAAAGCAUGGGUAGCAAACAGGAUUAGAUACCCUGGUAGUCCAUGCCGUAGACGUUGGGCACUAGGUGUGGGGAGCCGUCAACGCUCUCUGUGCCGUAGCUAACGCAUUAAGUGCCCCGCCUGGGGAGUACGGCCGCAAGGCUAAA
RNAcentral lists this ribosomal RNA (378 nucleotides) under uncultured bacterium. Its description in RNAcentral is "bacterial SSU rRNA". It matches the Rfam family "Bacterial small subunit ribosomal RNA", at positions 524 to 898 of the family's 1533-position model. The record is from RNAcentral.